Molecule: ribosomal RNA, 744 nt
Filed under: uncultured Flavobacteriales bacterium
Lineage: Bacteria; Pseudomonadati; Bacteroidota; Flavobacteriia; Flavobacteriales
Description: bacterial SSU rRNA
Rfam family: Bacterial small subunit ribosomal RNA
Source: RNAcentral
GUUUAGUAAGUCAGUGGUGAAAGCCCAUCGCUCAACGGUGGAACGGCCAUUGAUACUGCUAGACUUGAAUUAUUAGGAAGUAACUAGAAUAUGUAGUGUAGCGGUGAAAUGCUUAGAGAUUACAUGGAAUACCAAUUGCGAAGGCAGGUUACUACUAAUUGAUUGACGCUGAUGGACGAAAGCGUGGGUAGCGAACAGGAUUAGAUACCCUGGUAGUCCACGCCGUAAACGAUGGAUACUAGCUGUUGGGUGCAAACUCAGUGGCUAAGCGAAAGUGAUAAGUAUCCCACCUGGGGAGUACGUUCGCAAGAAUGAAACUCAAAGGAAUUGACGGGGGCCCGCACAAGCGGUGGAGCAUGUGGUUUAAUUCGAUGAUACGCGAGGAACCUUACCAAGGCUUAAAUGUAGAUUGACCGGUUUGGAAACAGACUUUUCGCAAGACAAUUUACAAGGUGCUGCAUGGUUGUCGUCAGCUCGUGCCGUGAGGUGUCAGGUUAAGUCCUAUAACGAGCGCAACCCCUGUUGUUAGUUGCCAGCGAGUCAAGUCGGGAACUCUAACAAGACUGCCAGUGUAAACUGUGAGGAAGGUGGGGAUGACGUCAAAUCAUCACGGCCCUUACGCCUUGGGCUACACACGUGCUACAAUGGCCGGUACAGAGAGCAGCCACUGGGCGACCAGGAGCGAAUCUAUAAAACCGGUCACAGUUCGGAUCGGAGUCUGCAACUCGACUCCGUGAGGCUGGA